Molecule: ribosomal RNA, 253 nt
Filed under: uncultured bacterium
Lineage: Bacteria
Description: partial 16S ribosomal RNA
Rfam family: Bacterial small subunit ribosomal RNA
Source: RNAcentral
UACGAAGGGUGCAAGCGUUAAUCGGAAUUACUUGGCGUAAAGCGCGCGUAGGUGGUUCAGUAAGUUGGAAGUGAAAUCCCCGGGCUCAACCUGGGAACUGCUUUCAAAACUGCUGAGCUAGAGUACGGUAGAGGGUGGUGGAAUUUCCUGUGUAGCGGUGAAAUGCGUAGAUAUAGGAAGGAACACCAGUGGCGAAGGCGACCACCUGGACUGAUACUGACACUGAGGUGCGAAAGCGUGGGGAGCAAAUAGG